Molecule: long non-coding RNA, 331 nt
Organism: Nicotiana tabacum (common tobacco)
Lineage: Eukaryota; Viridiplantae; Streptophyta; Magnoliopsida; Solanales; Solanaceae
Source: RefSeq, a predicted model, not a curated record
UACUAUUUCUUUCAAAAUUAAUUUCUAUUUUGUGCUUGAGACAAUGUUUUACAAGGCUGCGCUUACUUUCUUUAUGUUCUUAUUACUUUUGGCUGGAUUGCUCUCCCCUGUAGCACCCACAAGAAUGGAUAGGGCGAUGAUAGCAAGAGAUCUGAGUCAGAGUAUUGCUGCAAUUGGUGCUCCGAUACAUAAGAGCCCUUCAGGUCCUGGAAAUAAUUAGGGAUGAAAUUAAGGCAAAGAAGUUUCGCUACCGUCAACUAUUAAUCGGUUGUUACUGUUAUUGUUGUUGUUAUUAUCUUUAUUUUUUGCUAAUAAAGAGUCUUUAUCUCCA